Molecule: ribosomal RNA, 253 nt
Filed under: uncultured bacterium
Lineage: Bacteria
Description: partial 16S ribosomal RNA
Rfam family: Bacterial small subunit ribosomal RNA
Source: RNAcentral
UACGUAGGGAGCAAGCGUUGUCCGGAUUCAUUGGGCGUAAAGCGCGCGUAGGCGGUUUGGUAAGUCCGCCGUGAAAGUCAAAGGCUCAACCUUUGAAUGUCGAUGGAUACUGCCGGGCUAGAGUCCGGAAGAGGCGAGUGGAAUUCCUGGUGUAGCGGUGGAAUGCGCAGAUAUCAGGAGGAACACCAAUAGCGGAGGCAGCUCGCUGGGACGGUACUGACGCUAAGGCGCGAAAGCGUGGGGAGCGAACAGG